Molecule: transfer RNA, 78 nt
Filed under: Ilumatobacteraceae bacterium
Lineage: Bacteria; Bacillati; Actinomycetota; Acidimicrobiia; Acidimicrobiales; Ilumatobacteraceae
Also listed under: 2 other names
Description: tRNA-Pro
Rfam family: tRNA
About the family: Transfer RNA (tRNA) molecules are approximately 80 nucleotides in length.
Source: RNAcentral
CGGGCUGUAGCGCAGCUUGGUUAGCGCACUUGUCUGGGGGACAAGGGGUCGCAGGUUCAAAUCCUGUCAGCCCGACCA